UGUGGUGGCUUUCAACUCUGUCUUGAAGAAAUCAUGAAGCCAAAGUCAGAAACGGAUGAGAGAGCCACAGGAUGGGGACACUUUUCCCAUCUUGGACAUGAGGCAACACAAAGUCUGAUGCAUCACAUCUUAUACAAACUUAAGCACCCUUUCUUCAAUCUAGUCACCAACAGCUCUGGCCACCAAGAAGCAAAACGUCUUCUCCGUUUGUUCUCUCAGUUGCCUGACACUUGAAAAUCGUCUCCAUUUUUCUAUAAGAAGGUUCCGGGAGAACACAGAAAGGAAUGCAGACAAAGGCAAUGAAAUUCCUAAGUCUGUGACUAUUUAAAUGGCCAUGGAAGCUGCAGUCAUAUCUAACAAUUAAGAAGUGCUGUGCGACUAAUUAAAGUACAGAGAGCAUCAGUGGAGUGCUCUGCCACAAACAGGACAUUGCUGCCAUCCCACUGUGGAAGAUGAGUGAGAAGAAUUUAAGAGCCAGAAUUCAAAGAGGACCGGAGCAGAAUCAUCUUCUAAACAUGAUAGGACUCACAAACUGACAGUGUGAUGGUCACUUACACAAGACCCUAGCUUUGCAACAUUCCAGCAAGAGAGGGGAAGGGCCUCACUGCUCCCCACACCUACCUGAGGAGCUGACGACAGCUGAUGGCUUCUGGGGAAGAAAGAGAGUCUGUUUUCUUGAACGGUGUAGCCCCUGGUACAUUGACUAGCUGAUAACUUAGAUCCACAAGUAUAUGCAGUGCAAACUAAGACUUGGUGUUUUUGAGUGAGUGAGUAAGAAAUAGAGAAGAAAGAGCACAAGUAAGCAAGUGUGCACGAAGUUGGGAGUGGGUGAAAGGUGAGGGGAGGUGCUUGAAGGAGAUAUGGGGAGAAGUGGGGGUGAGUAUAAUAAAAAUACACUCUGGGAAA
Mastomys coucha (southern multimammate mouse) is the source of this 906-nucleotide long non-coding RNA. RefSeq lists it as uncharacterized. Lineage: Eukaryota; Metazoa; Chordata; Mammalia; Rodentia; Muridae. The record is from RefSeq and is a predicted model, not a curated record. The transcript is spliced from 3 exons.